GCCGGGUGUGGUGGCACAUGCCUGUAGUCCCAGCUACUCAGGAGGCUGAAGUAGGAGGAUCGCUUGAGCCCAGGAGUUCUGGGCUAUAGUGUGCUAUAACAGUCGAGUGUGCACACUAAGUUCAGCAUCAAUAUGGUGACCUCCCAGGAGUGAGGGGCCACCAGGUUGUCUAAGGAGGGGUGAACCAGCCUAGGUCAGAAACGGAGCAGGUCAAAACUCCCGUGCUGAUCAGUAGUGGGAUCGUGCCUGUGAAUAGCCCCUGCACUCCAGCUUGGGCAACAUAGUGAGACCCUGUCUCU
Molecule: signal recognition particle RNA, 299 nt
Filed under: Saimiri boliviensis boliviensis (Bolivian squirrel monkey)
Lineage: Eukaryota; Metazoa; Chordata; Mammalia; Primates; Cebidae
Description: Metazoan signal recognition particle RNA (ENSSBOG00000015391.1)
Rfam family: Metazoan signal recognition particle RNA
About the family: The signal recognition particle (SRP) is a universally conserved ribonucleoprotein.
Source: RNAcentral